AAUCAAAAAUCUAUAUCAUUUUGCGUACUGCACAGUGGCCCUAAUUAAUUAAAGUCAGGUCAAUGCCUCUUGCCAUACUUUAGGGUAAAGCCUGACCAGAUCUUAUAUAUAACCAAAUGACGAGAUGGACGCGGUAUCAAGCUCACCAAUUCCGAGAAUGGAGGAAGGCCAAACCAUCGUGAGGUACGUGCAUGGUGUACUAUUCAUCCUUGGUUCUUUUUUUCUUUUUUCUCUCUGUUCACAAUCUCGAUGCGAGUUAAUUUGCCUCUUCUGUAAAGCUAUGGAAAGAUUAACUACACCAUCAAAAGGUUUCUCCAUCAAUUACUGUGCGUUCGUGCAUUGCUUCAAUUAUCCUUGAUGCGUGCCUACCAUGUGAAUGAGCGCCCACCGCCCAUGAGCGACGACAUCAGUUUAAUUUGCAUCGAGGACAGAAAAUGAUAUGGUACUGUAGUAUCAAGAAUGAAGAUGGCGCAGAGUUUGAGUUCCACUUAUCAAAGGAUACUCUAUAACCCUAGUUUGCAGAUACAUGAAAGAGACCAUGUAGUAAUUGAUUUAAUGUACUAUGUUCCUCAGUGGAUUUUAUACAGUAACCAAGGUUUAGUGCAUGAUCAGGCAAUAUAGAAUGCAUUAGUCUAGACUCCAGAUUAUAAUAUCUUACUAGCUAGUAAACAAACAUGGAAAUAUAAAUGGUA
This 692-nucleotide long non-coding RNA is filed under the name Sorghum bicolor (sorghum). RNAcentral describes it as "long non-coding RNA (SBIC_LNC011929)". The record is from RNAcentral. Lineage: Eukaryota; Viridiplantae; Streptophyta; Magnoliopsida; Poales; Poaceae.